AGUGGCGGACGGGUGAGUAACGCGUGAGAAUCUGCCUUGGGGUCUGGGACAACCACUGGAAACGGUGGCUAAUACCGGAUAAGCCGAUUGGUGAAAGAUUUAUUGCCCGAAGAGGAGCUCGCGUCUGAUUAGCUAGUUGGUGAGGUAAGAGCUCACCAAGGCAGCGAUCAGUAGCUGGUCUGAGAGGACGAUCAGCCACACUGGGACUGAGACACGGCCCAGACUCCUACGGGAGGCAGCAGUGGGGAAUUUUCCGCAAUGGGCGAAAGCCUGACGGAGCAAGACCGCGUGAGGGAGGAAGGCUCUUGGGUUGUAAACCUCUUUUCUCAGGGAAGAAGCUCUGACGGUACCUGAGGAAUCAGCCUCGGCUAACUCCGUGCCAGCAGCCGCGGUAAUACGGAGGAGGCAAGCGUUAUCCGGAAUUAUUGGGCGUAAAGCGUCCGCAGGUGGCGAUUCAAGUCUGCUGUCAAAGCACGGGGCUUAACUCCGUAAAGGCAGUGGAAACUGAAUAGCUAGAGUGCCGUAGGGGUAGAGGGAAUUCCCGGUGUAGCGGUGAAAUGCGUAGAGAUCGGGAAGAACAUCGGUGGCGAAAGCGCUCUACUGGACGGCAACUGACACUCAGGGACGAAAGCUAGGGGAGCGAAUGGGAUUAGAUACCCC
This 660-nucleotide ribosomal RNA is filed under the name uncultured bacterium. Its description in RNAcentral is "bacterial SSU rRNA". It matches the Rfam family "Bacterial small subunit ribosomal RNA", at positions 94 to 788 of the family's 1533-position model. The record is from RNAcentral.